This 175-nucleotide ribosomal RNA is filed under the name uncultured Weissella sp. RNAcentral's name for it is "partial 16S ribosomal RNA". It matches the Rfam family "Bacterial small subunit ribosomal RNA", at positions 334 to 524 of the family's 1533-position model. The record is from RNAcentral. Lineage: Bacteria; Bacillati; Bacillota; Bacilli; Lactobacillales; Lactobacillaceae.
UACUCCUACGGGAGGCAGCAGUGGGGAAUUUUCCGCUAUGGGCGAAAGCCUGACGGAGCAAUGCCGCGUGAAGGUAGAAGGCCUACGGGUCAUGAACUUCUUUUCCCGGAGAAGAAGCAAUGACGGUAUCUGAGGAAUAAGCAUCGGCCAACUCUGUGCCAGCAGCCGCGGUAAU